Pangasianodon gigas (Mekong giant catfish) is the source of this 88-nucleotide non-coding RNA. NCBI's taxonomy places the organism in Eukaryota, Metazoa, Chordata, Actinopteri, Siluriformes, Pangasiidae. The record is from the annotation of a GenBank genome assembly.
GCAGUUUUCUGGUCAAACACCUGAGGGUGGGUGAUCUGGUCCAGCUGAGUCAUAGUGAGUUGUUCGAAUCUUGAGGUUUCACUGUAAU